CACGUAGGGGGCAAGCGUUGUCCGGAAUUAUUGGGCGUAAAGAGCUCGUAGGCGGUGUGUCGCGUCGGCCGUGAAAACCUGCAGCUUAACUGUGGGCGUGCGGUCGAUACGGGCAUCACUGGAGUUCGGCAGGGGAGACUGGAAUUCCUGGUGUAGCGGUGAAAUGCGCAGAUAUCAGGAGGAACACCGGUGGCGAAGGCGGGUCUCUGGGCCGAUACUGACGCUGAGGAGCGAAAGCGUGGGGAGCGAACAGG
RNAcentral lists this ribosomal RNA (254 nucleotides) under uncultured bacterium. RNAcentral describes it as "partial 16S ribosomal RNA". It matches the Rfam family "Bacterial small subunit ribosomal RNA", at positions 524 to 776 of the family's 1533-position model. The record is from RNAcentral.